UACGUAGGGUGCAAGCGUUGUCCGGAAUUAUUGGGCGUAAAGAGCUCGUAGGCGGUCAGUCGCGUCUGCUGUGAAAGCCCGGGGCUUAACCCCGGGUCUGCAUUCGAUACGGGCUAGCUAGAGUGUGGUAGGGGAGAUCGGAAUUCCUGGUGUAGCGGUGAAAUGCGCAGAUAUCAGGAGGAACACCGGUGGCGAAGGCGGAUCUCUGGGCCAUUACUGACGCUGAGGAGCGAAAGCGUGGGGAGCGAACAGG
Molecule: ribosomal RNA, 253 nt
Filed under: uncultured bacterium
Lineage: Bacteria
Description: partial 16S ribosomal RNA
Rfam family: Bacterial small subunit ribosomal RNA
Source: RNAcentral